Molecule: transfer RNA, 85 nt
Organism: Felis catus (domestic cat)
Lineage: Eukaryota; Metazoa; Chordata; Mammalia; Carnivora; Felidae
Rfam family: tRNA
About the family: Transfer RNA (tRNA) molecules are approximately 80 nucleotides in length. Their secondary structure includes four short double-helical elements and three loops (D, anti-codon, and T loops). Further hydrogen bonds mediate the characteristic L-shaped molecular structure. tRNAs have two regions of fundamental functional importance: the anti-codon, which is responsible for specific mRNA codon recognition, and the 3' end, to which the tRNAs corresponding amino acid is attached (by aminoacyl-tRNA synthetases). tRNAs cope with the degeneracy of the genetic code in two manners: having more than one tRNA (with a specific anti-codon) for a particular amino acid; and 'wobble' base-pairing, i.e. permitting non-standard base-pairing at the 3rd anti-codon position.
Source: Rfam
GCCUGGGUGGCUCAGUGGGUUAAGCGACCGACUUCAGCUCAGGUCAAGGUCUCACCGUCUGUGAGUUCGAGCCCCGCCUCAGGCU